AACGCACCUUGCGCCUCUUGGUAUUCCGAAAGGCAUGCCUGUUUGAGUGUCAUUAAAUUCUCAAUCCCUUUUUGGCUGUGUUAGCUUCUAAGGUGAUUGGAUGUGGGGGGAUUUUUGCUGGCCUUUGUUGGUCAAGCUCCUCUUAAAUGUAUUAGCAGGAAUCCUUUUUUUGCAGGACCGUCUCUGGUGUGAUAAAUUAUCUAUGCCAUGGUCUUGAAGCAAAAAACGCAGCUUGUACUUACUUGGUAGGGAAGCUGGGGGGGUUCAAGCUUUCUAACCGUCCAAGCAGGUAGUUGGACCCAAUUGACAUAUUUGACCUCAAAUCAGGUAGGACUACCCGCUGAACUUAA
RNAcentral lists this unclassified non-coding RNA (350 nucleotides) under uncultured fungus. Its description in RNAcentral is "sequence contains ITS2". The record is from RNAcentral. Lineage: Eukaryota; Fungi.